This 497-nucleotide ribosomal RNA is filed under the name uncultured bacterium. RNAcentral describes it as "partial 16S ribosomal RNA". It matches the Rfam family "Bacterial small subunit ribosomal RNA", at positions 28 to 507 of the family's 1533-position model. The record is from RNAcentral.
GACGAACGCUGGCGGCGUGCCUAAUACAUGCAAGUAGAACGCUGAAGAGAGGAGCUUGCUCUUCUUGGAUGAGUUGCGAACGGGUGAGUAACGCGUAGGUAACCUGCCUUGUAGCGGGGGAUAACUAUUGGAAACGAUAGCUAAUACCGCAUAACAAUAGGUGACACAUGUCAUUUAUUUGAAAGGGGCAAUUGCUCCACUACAAGAUGGACCUGCGUUGUAUUAGCUAGUAGGUGAGGUAACGGCUCACCUAGGCGACGAUACAUAGCCGACCUGAGAGGGUGAUCGGCCACACUGGGACUGAGACACGGCCCAGACUCCUACGGGAGGCAGCAGUAGGGAAUCUUCGGCAAUGGGGGCAACCCUGACCGAGCAACGCCGCGGGAGUGAAGAAGGUUUUCGGAUCGUAAAGCUCUGUUGUAAGUCAAGAACGAGUGUGAGAGUGGAAAGUUCACACUGUGACGGUAGCUUACCAGAAAGGGACGGCUAACUACGUG